CAGUCGCCGCGGUAAGACAGAGGAUGCAAGCGUUAUCCGGAAUGAUUGGGCGUAAAGCGUGCGUAGGUGGUGGUUUAAGUCCGUUGUGAAAGCCCUGGGCUCAACCUGGGAAUUGCAGUGGAUACUGGGUCACUAGAGUGUGGUAGAGGAUAGUGGAAUUUCCGGUGUAGCAGUGAAAUGCGUAGAGAUCGGAAGGAACAUCUGUGGCGAAGGCGACUAUCUGGGCCAACACUGACACUGAGGCACGAAAGCGUGGGGAGCAAACAGGAUUAGAUACCCCAGUAGUCCCUGUCUCUUAAAC
RNAcentral lists this ribosomal RNA (301 nucleotides) under uncultured bacterium. RNAcentral describes it as "partial 16S ribosomal RNA". It matches the Rfam family "Bacterial small subunit ribosomal RNA", at positions 509 to 807 of the family's 1533-position model. The record is from RNAcentral.